GAUGAACGCUGGCGGCGUGCCUAAUACAUGCAAGUCGAGCGAACGGACGAGAAGCUUGCUUCUCUGAUGUUAGCGGCGGACGGGAGAGUAACACGUGGAUAACCUACCGAUAAGACUGGGAUAACUUCGGGAAACCGGAUCUAAUCCCGGAUGAUAAUUUGAUCCGCAUGGUUCAAAAGAGAAAUACAGUCUUGUUGUCACUUAUAGAUGGAUCCGCGCUGCAUCAGCUAGUUGGUAAGGUAGCGGCUUACCAAGGCAACGAUGAAUAGCCGACCUGGGAGGGUGACCGGCCACACUGGAACGGAGAACCGGUCCAGACUCCUCCGGGAGGAAGCAGAAGGGAAUCUUGCGCAAUGGGGGAAAGCCUGACGGAGAAAGGCGGGUGGAGUGAUGAAGGUCUUGGGUCGUUAAAACUCUGUUAUUAGGGAAGAACAUAUGUGUAAGUAAAUGUGCACACCUUGACGGUACCUAACCAGAAAGCCACGGCUAACUACGUG
This 497-nucleotide ribosomal RNA is filed under the name uncultured bacterium. RNAcentral's name for it is "partial 16S ribosomal RNA". It matches the Rfam family "Bacterial small subunit ribosomal RNA", at positions 28 to 507 of the family's 1533-position model. The record is from RNAcentral.